This 603-nucleotide ribosomal RNA is filed under the name uncultured Methylotenera sp. RNAcentral describes it as "bacterial SSU rRNA". It matches the Rfam family "Bacterial small subunit ribosomal RNA", at positions 38 to 636 of the family's 1533-position model. The record is from RNAcentral. Lineage: Bacteria; Pseudomonadati; Pseudomonadota; Betaproteobacteria; Nitrosomonadales; Methylophilaceae.
GGCGGAAUGCUUUACACAUGCAAGUCGAACGGCAGCACGGACUUCGGUCUGGUGGCGAGUGGCGAACGGGUGAGUAAUGUAUCGGAACGUAUCCAGUAAUGGGGGAUAACUAAUCGAAAGGUUGGCUAAUACCGCAUACGCCCUACGGGGGAAAGCAGGGGAUCUUCGGACCUUGCGUUAAUGGAGCGGCCGACAUCUGAUUAGCUAGUUGGUGAGGUAAGAGCUCACCAAGGCGACGAUCAGUAGCUGGUCUGAGAGGACGACCAGCCACACUGGAACUGAGACACGGUCCAGACUCCUACGGGAGGCAGCAGUGGGGAAUUUUGGACAAUGGGCGCAAGCCUGAUCCAGCCAUUCCGCGUGAGUGAAGAAGGCCUUCGGGUUGUAAAGCUCUUUCGCAAGGGAAGAAACGAUGCAGACGAAUAAUCUGUGUUAAUGACGGUACCUUGAUAAGAAGCACCGGCUAACUACGUGCCAGCAGCCGCGGUAAUACGUAGGGUGCAAGCGUUAAUCGGAAUUACUGGGCGUAAAGCGUGCGCAGGCGGUUUUGUAAGUCAGAUGUGAAAUCCCCGAGCUCAACUUGGGAACUGCGUUUGAAACUAC